UUUGUCGUUCAAUAUUUAGCCCCACACCACCAUAUUUAGACUCCUCGUGACCUGAGGAUCACGAGGGUGGUCUUGCAUGUACGAUCAGGGGCUAGGAAAUGAUUGAGCUUGAGAGCUCCGAGUUCCAAUUGGAACUCAUAGUGUCUUGAGAUAUUGUGUGGUGAAUUUUGAACUCAAAUAGAGGGUUUUUAACCCUAUUUGCUCAUUAUGCAUAUUUUCAGUUUCCGGCAAGAGGAAACGGACGGACUCCAACGAGUUCAAGGUGCAAUCCGUCCUCAAAUUCUUCUACGUUUGACCUGGCAUUUCCAGAAACCGGCGAGGAGGUUCGAGGAGUUCCUGUUGAAUCCGAUGAGGUUUCAACAUCUUUUGGGCCAAUCUAAUCGUAGGUAAAUUCUUAGACUUAUUUUUGUGAUUUUGGUUGAAUGAGUAUAAAUCCGUCAAAUUCGAGCUUGGAACGAAGGUGAGUAGCGAAUACCGUUCACUUUGACGCCAGCAACGGCAGACCCGUUAGAAAUAGCGGUAUCUCCCAACGGAAAAGGUAUUUUCCGUCUCCCUGAGUCAAAAUUUCAGAUGAUUGGCGCGUGGCUCCUGCGAUGAUGAAUGUGGUGUCUAAUCGCCGAACCGUGGCGGUGCGUCACACCACUGCAGGGGCGCGUGGCUGGAGCACAACGAGUGGCGGUGUGGGGGCAGCACGUGUAGGACUUGUGGUCUAAUCCUAGUUUUUUUGAUGUUCUAAAUCACAUAGCGUUCUCCAUUUGUGCAAAUUCAAUAUCUAAAUGGCAGUUUUGGAUGAA
Pyrus x bretschneideri (Chinese white pear) is the source of this 794-nucleotide long non-coding RNA. RefSeq lists it as uncharacterized. The record is from RefSeq and is a predicted model, not a curated record. The transcript has 2 exons. NCBI's taxonomy places the organism in Eukaryota, Viridiplantae, Streptophyta, Magnoliopsida, Rosales, Rosaceae.